UAGAGGGGGUGUGGGGCGUUGUGUAGGGACUGACAUUAGAGGGGGUGUAGGGUGUUGUGUAGGGACACCCCCUCUGUCAGUCCAUUGUCAUGUGCAAUUGAAAUUUAAAAAGUUCCCUUAUUCGUGAAAUAAUUAAUUCAUAGUGAACCAUCACAUUUCAAUCCCACCAUAGCGCUGAACCACCGCCGUACGGAUUGAGCCCUCGAAGUCCUUUAAAGCACAACAACAGUUCCUCUUGGGGAAUAGAGAGAACAGAGAGAUCUCACAGCCCCCAGGCCUUACGGGUGUCUCUGUAGAGCUGACUCUGUCUUAGAGAGUUACUACUGGUACACAUGGUGUCAUAGGCAGAGCUCAUAGUGGUGAAAGAUAGGGAGAGGGAGAGAGGUCUCACAGCCCCCAGGCCUUACGGGUGUCUCUGUAGAGCUGACUCUGUCUUAGAGAGUUACUACUGGUACACAUGGUGUGAUAGGCAGAGCUCAUAGUGGUGAAAGAUAGGGAGAGGGAGAGAGGUCUCACAGCCCCCAGGCCUUAUGGGUGUCUCUGUAGAGCUGACUCUGUCUUAGAGAGUUACUACUGGUACACAUGGUGUCAUAGGCAGAGCUCAUAGUGGCGCAUUUCUCAUUCCAAGAUGACACUGUUCCAACACCAAGAGCUCAUUGCCUUGUGUUGUCUAGUGUUUCAGUGAUAGGAUAUUAUCUUUUCCCUUCUCUCUCUGUUUCUCACCCCUCUCUCCCCCUCUCUCUAUUUCUCUCCUCUCUCUGUUUCUCUUCUCUCUCUGUUUCUCUCCUCUCUCUAUUUCUCUCCUCUCUCUGUUUCUCUCCUCUCUCUAUUUCUCUCCUCUCUCUGUUUCUCUCCUCUCUCUGUUUCUCACCCCUCUCUCUAUUUCUCUCCUCUCUCUGUUUCUCUUCUCUCUCUGUUUCUCUCCUCUCUCUGUUUCUCACCCCUCUCUCCCCCUCUCUCUG
Oncorhynchus keta (chum salmon) is the source of this 962-nucleotide long non-coding RNA. RefSeq lists it as uncharacterized. The transcript has 3 exons. NCBI's taxonomy places the organism in Eukaryota, Metazoa, Chordata, Actinopteri, Salmoniformes, Salmonidae. The record is from RefSeq and is a predicted model, not a curated record.